AAUAUGAAGUGUAAAAACACAGGUCGGUUGGUAGUCCGGUCGCAUUAGCAUAUCAACUAAUGUCAGUAACCUUCCCCCCUCGGGAUGUCCAUCACUUCAUUAUUUUUA
Molecule: non-coding RNA, 108 nt
Organism: Aneurinibacillus migulanus
Lineage: Bacteria; Bacillati; Bacillota; Bacilli; Caryophanales; Paenibacillaceae
Source: Rfam